UACGUAGGUGGCAAGCGUUAUCCGGAUUUAUUGGGCGUAAAGGGAACGCAGGCGGUCUUUUAAGUCUGAUGUGAAAGCCUUCGGCUUAACCGGAGUAGUGCAUUGGAAACUGGGGGACUUGAGUGCAGAAGAGGAGAGUGGAACUCCAUGUGUAGCGGUGAAAUGCGUAGAUAUAUGGAAGAACACCAGUGGCGAAGGCGAUUCUCUGGACUGUAACUGACGCUGAGGCUCGAAAGCGUGGGGAGCAAACAGG
This 253-nucleotide ribosomal RNA is filed under the name uncultured bacterium. RNAcentral describes it as "partial 16S ribosomal RNA". It matches the Rfam family "Bacterial small subunit ribosomal RNA", at positions 524 to 776 of the family's 1533-position model. The record is from RNAcentral.